RNAcentral lists this ribosomal RNA (381 nucleotides) under Triticum aestivum (bread wheat). RNAcentral describes it as "partial small subunit ribosomal RNA". The record is from RNAcentral. Lineage: Eukaryota; Viridiplantae; Streptophyta; Magnoliopsida; Poales; Poaceae.
AUGAUCAUCCAUAGGCUUGCGGAUCUAAUUACAUCGGAAAAGCCGAUUCCGGUAACAAGCAUUGGGGACAAGGCUUUGUUCCUUAACAAUGUGAGGAGCCUUUCUGUUUCCUCCAAUGGGGCAUUGCCCACUGUUGUCAGCAACACCAUUGUUCAGGCCAGCCUGGCAAAUGGGUCACUUACCGAGUACAACCUUAGUACUGACGCUUGGUCACGGCCGAUGGAUGGUUGCAUCUUACAUGGCCCCGUAUUUGGACCCUGUUGCCUUAUCUACCAUAUCUGCACCUGUUGCAUUCGUGAAUACUGGAACAAAGGACAACUGUGCAACCGGAAUAAACCUUGCAGGUGGCGAGUGAAGGGAAAGUGGCGCAUAGGGGUAUAG